Molecule: ribosomal RNA, 465 nt
Filed under: uncultured bacterium
Lineage: Bacteria
Description: partial 16S ribosomal RNA
Rfam family: Bacterial small subunit ribosomal RNA
Source: RNAcentral
CCUACGUGAGGCAGCAGUAGGGAAUCUUCCACAAUGGGCGAAAGCCUGAUGGAGCAACGCCGCGUGGGUGAAGAAGGUCUUCGGAUCGUAAAACCCUGUUGUUAGAGAAGAAAGUGCGUGAGAGUAACUGUUCACGUUUCGACGGUAUCUAACCAGAAAGCCACGGCUAACUACGUGCCAGCAGCCGCGGUAAUACGUAGGUGGCAAGCGUUAUCCGGAUUUAUUGGGAGUAAAGGGAACGCAGGCGGUCUUUUAAGUCUGAUGUGAAAGCCUUCGGCUUAACCGGAGUAGUGCAUUGGAAACUGGGAGACUUGAGUGCAGAAGAGGAGAGUGGAACUCCAUGUGUAGCGGUGAAAUGCGUAGAUAUAUGGAAGAACACCAGUGGCGAAAGCGGAUCUCUGGUCUGUAACUGACGCUGAGGUUCGAAAGCGUGGGUAGCAAACAGGAUUAGAUACCCGGGUAGUC